AUUUCAAGAUGCCUCCCAUCCAGACAUUACAGUUGUUGUGGACAGGAAUGAGGCCAGAAGAAUCAGAGAAGGAGAUAUGCAACUCAUUGAAACAAUUAAAAAAAGAUGGAAAGAGACAAAUGCACCUGCACAGCAAUGUGAUAAAAGUGAAGCCUCUGCCACAAAUGCCACCACUGCUGAAGAUUAUUGUCAUGUUGAUGAAGACUCUGUAUGCAUAUCUGAG
Long non-coding RNA from Magallana angulata, 223 nucleotides. RefSeq lists it as uncharacterized. NCBI's taxonomy places the organism in Eukaryota, Metazoa, Mollusca, Bivalvia, Ostreida, Ostreidae. The record is from RefSeq and is a predicted model, not a curated record. The transcript has 3 exons.